CAAUUUUGUCUGCAAGCUUCCUUUGAAAGAGAAGGGCAGGUCGCAUUAGUUAAACGUAUAUGACAAUGUGACAAUCUCGCAAAAUUAAUAGUGAUACAGGUGAAAACCAUAACCGUUCUUCAAAACAACAACUUCUGGUGUUGGAAACUAGAAGGGCCCGACCAACUAUCAUUUACAAUUGUACAGAGCUGACACUAAAAAAUGGAAAUGAGAAGAGAAGGGCAGGUGGCAUUAGUUAAACGUAUAUGACAAUCUUACGAAGUUAAUAGUGAUACAGGUGAAAACCACAACUGUUCUUCAAAACAAGAACUUCUGGUGUUGGAAACUAGAAGGACCAACUAUCAUACCUUGAAAGCGUCACGAAAAGGGCAUCAGAACGGGUAUUUGAUAUAAAAUCCGAUUCAAAAUGUAGUUACAUUAGACCUAUUAUAGCCUUUUUUUUUUCCCUUGAAGAUUAAUGUAACUUUGAGUAUUUAAUUUCAAAAGUGUUCUCCAAGUCAUCCAAGAAAACGCGACUUGAAGAACUUAUCUGCCAAGCUAUUCAAAACAAAUGAAUUAGCUGUAGAAAACAGAUGUGGGAAUGAGUCAUACCUAGCCUUUGGAGCUUCAUACCUUGCAUUGCCAAACAAAAUGUAACAUUAACAAGUGGUUUUCUGAUAGAACAGCAAUGCAAUCAACUGUAUAGCAGAGACAUGGUUUGAAGGAUCGAAUAUCAAUUACGCUAUUCGAAUUCCCAAUUGGAAGCAAACUGGGAAAGAAAGAACAACAAUCAUGCAAAAACAGAAGAAAGAAAGAAAGAACAGAAAUUGGGGAACAAGUAAAUAGUUGAUCAAUUAAUCAAACAAAUGCACAGAGCCAAAAGGAAAAGGAAAAUGUCAAAACUGAUUCCUCCAUCAAUUAAUCUAACAUAUGCAACAGUGUCAGAGAUUUUAGAGAGACACUCAGCAGCCCAUUACUAACACACCGUAACACAGAUAGUAAGAUAGACAAGACCUCGAUAUAAUUAGAUAUACAACCACAUAUAUAUAUAUAUAUAUAUAGGUUACAUUAAUUUUGUCAAUUUUCCGACGUGAGAUUCUUGCACCCAUUAAUUCACACAAGCUAAAAACCAGAAGCCAUUAAGCUCACAAACUCAAAUCAUAAACUGAACAAAAAACGCAAACUUUAGAAACAAGUAAAAAAAGAAAGACUUUUGGAGUGGUGGGUAAAGUACCAAAAGCGUCAUGGACGAGAAGAACUGAAAGCCUGGAGUCAGGGGAGCCAGUGACAUAGGAAUCGAAACCGCCGAGCUUUUCGACGUGGCCGGAGCCGCUGGACGGGUUCAGGGCUGGUGGGUUUGAGCAGCACUCAGAGCUUGCCAUGAUUUCUUUCUUUUUUUCUUUCCCUGAAUUCACAAACACCAACACACUCAGUCAGUGUUUGAUUGAGCUACGACAGCAGAUGCUAUAUUUAUAGGGGGGAAAUUCUUUACUGGUAAAAUAGAUUUAUCGGAAUUUGAUAUUGGGUACUUAAUCCUUUAUUCAAUUCUUUAUUUUUUAAAUGACGAAAGGAAUGACUUAUUUUUUAGAUGACGGAAGGAAUGACCUAAGCCGCAGUCCAAGACUCCAAGUCCAUGGCACUCCACCGAGACACUCGACUGAGUAUUGUUCAUGUUGACGAGUUACUCGCAUCCCGCAACUAUCCAAAAAAUAUUUCUCUCGUAUUACAGAAAAUCGCUUAAUGUGCGGUUCUAUUCUGAUAAGUGGUUUAAAAUAACAAAAAAAAUUUACUUUAUGAAGCACUAAUCAACAUCAUCAAAUGUCUGAGCAUGAAUUAUACCACUCAGCAAAUUCCAAACCUUAAAGAACCACGCUGUUCUCAAACCUCUACUCUUCCAAGCGACAAAUUUUACACACAAAUAUUGGCACAUAAAAUUGCAGACAGUGUUCUGAUUCAUAGUAAAUAGAAUGCAGUUGGGACGAUAAGGUUCAAAUUAUUCUUGUCCUUCACUGAAAAUAGAACGCUUCACAGUAAUGACGAUACCAUUCACUUGACAUGGUUCAAGAACCACUCCAACAAGUCUUGAUGAGCCUCCUCGGCAGCCUUACAAGCUGCUUCAUCUUCAUCGUUGUACCUAGUGGUCCACCCGUGUUCCACUUUUGGAAAUAUCUUCACACGGCUUUUGAUCUGUGAUUCCAUAAACCAAACUGUCAUUCCAAAUACAUAAACGCGAAACAUUGAAGAAAUAGAGCCACAUUAAGAAGGCAGAAUAUCUAAGCAUAAUAUAUAAGCCCUUGAACACCUUUGGUUUUGUAAGGGCAAGUUCGACCUAUAAUCCGUGACAUAUUUCUACCAAUAACCCAUGACAGAAUGAGAACGACUAAACCCGAAGUCAUCUCAAGGGCUAUAAGGAUGUCCAUGAUUAAAAUCAACAACUACAUUGAAAUCAUUGAAAAGUGUUUGGAUCAAGAUAUUUCCUACCUCAGGUUUUGCAGCUAAAGCCUCCUCAAAUUGUUUCACGACUUCAGGUGGAGACAUAUUAUCAAUCUCAGCGCCAAGUAUUUGAGUGGGAACCUUAACCGCUGCAAUUUAGUUCCAGGAAUAAAUCAAUAAACUCAGGCCGAACAGAUUUUAUUUUUCUAUUUACACUUUCUUAGCGUAAAUGAUAGAAAACUUAGUGUUCGUUUAAAUUGACACCUACACUACUUAGCUAAAUAUUUCUUGAAAUUAAACAGUGAAAUCGUACCCUUGAUAUCAUCCAGAGUGACAAAUGAAGGAUGACACAUAGCAGCAGCUUGGAUAAAGUCAUGCUUUGAAAGUUCAACCACAACCUUGGCUGAAAACAGCACAAAUGAUUUAAUGUCAAAGGAAGCAUCCCAUCGGUUGAACUAAUAAAUUAAGGAUGAAAAGCAAUACGAAAAGAAACAAAAAUUGUAGAAAGACAGGACAUUCUUUUAACCUGAAAAAUGAACUAAUAAAUUAUAGAAUAAAGAGAAGAAUCCACAAGAAGGGGAAAAUGAGCUCACCCCCAUAACAGAAUCCUACAGCACCAACUGCAGAAAUACCUUUACUUUUUAAAGCUUCAAGUAUUGGUUUUGCAUCUUCUAAUGCUUUGUCCUGUUUAGAAGCGUAACAUUUUAACAAUACUUGCACAAUCAACAGUUUGGAUAUAAAACACCACAAAAUCAGGUAUUUUUUCGUGUCAGAGGUGGAAACGAUCAUAUAAACUUUAAAAACAACAACAAUAAUUGGACCUCCAAGCUGAAGCUACAUGCAUCUUCAACUUAAAACAGCCCCAAAACGAGAAUACACAAUAAGUAUCUUAACAUUUUAUGUGAAUUUAAGAAUCACAAAGGGAUACUUGUAAAAGUAUUUCAAUUAUAAAUCAGUCAACAAUUUCUUGAUCUCUGCAUGAUAAGAGAACCAACCGUUCCAUGAUGUUUUAUCCAGCCAGGGAAAGCGGCAAAUCCCUCCUCUCCAAGUACAAAAGGGUCUCCGUAAAAGAAGUCAGGGAUCACAACAAAAAAACCACCAGCUGCAAGUUUGUCUGCCAGCUUCCUUCAAAACAGUAGGUGGCAUUAGGUGAAGGGUACAUAAGAUUAUGAGAACACGCAAAUGAUAUAGUGAUUGAUCAAGUGAAUAACACAACUGUGCUUCGAAAUAUUUUUUUUAAUGAUGUUGGAAACUAGAAGGAUAAACUAUCCCAGUCUAUCUUUCUAGAUCGCAUAGACUCGGAUCAAAAUACAGGAGGUGAUCUUCUCAGCAUAAGGAAAUACCAUUUUCAAAAGUAGGGAGCUCGACAGUUGCUACGUCCGAUAUAUGAUCUUAAACUAAUGGUUGUAACUACUUGAAAAUUUAGUUGCAUGUAACCUAUUACAAUCUUUCUCAUUCUUUCCCUUAACGACAAGUAUUUAUUUCAAAGUGUCCACCAAGACAUCAAGCAGGUUUAAAUUCACGAAAAUUGCAAUUCAGAGAACCAAUCCAUCACAUCGUGCAACAAAAAUAAAGGAGCUGUAGCAAAACGGAUAUGCAACAAGUCAUACCUCAAGUUUGGAGCAUCGUAUCCUGCACAGAACAAUAAACAUGUUAAAUUAACAGUGAUGUGCUGAUACAACGUCAUAGACUCAUACGAAGCAAUUUUACAGUACUGAUCGGGGAAGGAACAGAAACAGGAGAAAGAAACACACUAAAAGGCAAACAAACUAUGCUCUGAUAUGACAUACAGUUACAAAGAUCCUCCUUGUUAUGACUGAGGCUAGAUACAUAUUUAUAGCACCUAUUAAAAUUUUCUUCCAAACUAUGAUAUUUUCUGCUGAGCGGGGUAUUUCGGCCAAACUAUACAAUAGGCCCGCCAUAAUAGUUAAGUAUCGACCUCAGUCAAGUAAUAUUGCUAGACUGUAGUAUCAGUGACAUAACACGAAUUAACAGAAACGCCCUAAAAAUAUAUACCCUUUAAACAAGAAUCACGUACAGACCAAUCAAAACACGAUAAAGAAACUAAACCCAUGCCAUAAAAUGGAAAAAAAAAAUUGCAGAAAAUACUGAACCAAAUUAAAAAGCAGAGAUUUUUGAAGUGGUGGGAGUUGGGAAAGUACCAAAAACAUCAGAGACGAGAAGAACGGCGACCUUGGAGUCCGGGGAGCCGACCAGAUAGGUGUCGAGACCGCCUAACUUCUCAACGUGGCCGGAGCCACUCGAUGGGUUCAGGGUUGGUGGGUGGGAGCAGCACUGAGGGCCUGACAUUUUUGUUUUUGUUUUUGUGGUUCUCUGAAACAAACAGUCUGCUAAUCUAAUCUGGCCAAAUGGUUUAUAGGGUGGUUAGGGACAGGGACCUGGUUUGUCUGCCCUCUCCCAUCCCAUUCACUCUUAUUUAUGUGGUCACAGUUAAGCCACGUCAACAAAGAGUUGAAUUGACUCGUUGGUUGAUUAGAAAGAAAGGUUAGGAUUUAGGGAGGAAGAGGAAACCUAAUCUUAUAUUCUCACCUGUUGUAGUAGGCCUAUUUGAUUGAACUAAUAUAAGGGAUUAGAGAGAGAGUGGGCCGGUGGUAGCUAGAGAAAAGAGAUAGUGAUUUAAUUGUGAGGUGUGUUUGUAUCAAACUAUUGUGCUUUUAUUUAUUUAUAGUAUUAGGAUAGAAAAAACCUUACCUUUUUAGAAUUACAACUUCAAAUAGGUCAUAAUAGGAAUAUAAGAGAUAUUCAUAAAUUCACCAGGAUUUACACAAUCACAUCUCUAUUCUAAAUAUGACUCACCCAUAUUUUAAUACUAAUUUUUAUCCUUUGUAAGAUUAUAUCUUAUAUACUAAAACUCAAACAGGGUGGGUACUGUGGAUGACCAGUGGGCGGACUGUGAGAGGAGGGUUGAGGGUCUGCCACGUGGCAGGCAAUGAGAGGAGGAGAAGUUUAGAAAAUCUGAAAAGGGGAUUCUAAUUGGAUGAGAGUAGGGGACCAAAAUGCAAAUUUCAUAAAACUCUAGGGGAAAAUUAUGAAAUUACAAUUAUUUGGGGGUGGGGUUUAACAUGUGAUUUGAAAUACAUGUUGGAUUGUUUGUGAAAUGCAAGGGCUAGUAGUGGAUCGUUAACCCAUUGUCAUGAGAUUUUGUUUGCUUCGAUAUUGUUUCAUUUCUCGCUUCGUUGACCUGUUCUAAAUUUAGUACUUGGUUUUGUUUCAUUUCGUUAAGCGUUUGUAAAUUGAGCACUUGAUUCAUGUUUUGUUUCUUUGAGCCGUUGUUAUGUUCUUGGACUUCCGUUCGGUUCCGUUGAGUCCGAAACUAGGUUCCACAGGGUUCCGUUGAGUGGUCCGGUUCCUUGCUCCGUCUAGAUUCCGUUGAGUGGUCUGGAAUUGUAUCCACUCGAAUUCCUUUGAAAGGUCCGGAAUCCCUUCUACUCUGCUAUUCCGUUGAGAGGUCCGGAAUCCCUUCUACUCUGCUAUUCCGUUGAGUGGUCCGGAAUCGUAUCUUGGUUUGGAUUAUGUUGAGUGGUCCAUAAUCCCAUUUGGUAUUUUGGUUCCGUUGAGUAGUCCAGAACCCGAUAUUGUUGGAUUUUGUUGAGUGGUCACAUUCUUCAAAGAUGUAGGAUUCAGUCGAACUGUGUCGCUCUAGCCUUACAUUUUGGUGUAUUGUAUGUGUUAUUGAUUGAUGUGAUUGUAGAAUGGUGUUGGAAAACACACGUGUGUGUGAAUGGCAUGAUGACAACACUUGUUGGGCUUAUGAUUGAUGUGUAGUGUGAUACUCUAUGUUUUUUGCUAGGAAGUAUUUUACGAAAAGUUUAGAGUUUAACAAAUAGUGAACUACAAAUGGCUUGAUUCCUAUUUAGGGUACGCACGCAGUCUAACGAGAAGGUUAGAUGCAGCCAAUCUGAAUCAUGAGUUGUGCUUUGUCCAUAUCUCGGAGACUGAGUAUGUUAGAUAUACGGGUAUUUAGUGACGUCACGUGUUGAUCUUAGACAUACGUUGGGAUCGGGGCGUGACAAAAUGUAACAUGAACAAGUAGUUUGCUGAUAGAAUACCAGCAAGCAACUGUAUAGUAGAGACAUGGUUUGAAGGAUCGAAUAUCAAUUACGCCUAUUCGAAUUCCCAAUUGGAAGCAAACUGGGAAAGAAAGAACAUCAAUCAUGCAAAAGCAGAAGAAAGAAAGAACAGAAAUUGGGGAACAAGUAAAUAGUUGAUCAAUUAAUCAAACAUAAGCACAGCACCCACAAAGUCAAAAGGAAAACGAAAAUGUCAAAACAGAUUCCUCCAUCAAUUAAUCAAACAUAUGUAGAGUGUUAAAGAUUUUAGAAAGACGAGUCAGCAGUUCGUUGCUGACAUACCGUAAAAGAGAUAGUAAGAUACAUACGACCUCGAUAUAAUUAGAAGUAAAACCCCUCAACAUAUGUAGGUUAGAUUAAUUUUAUCAAUUAUCCGACGUGCAAUUCUUGCACCCAUUAAUUCACACAAGCUAAAAACCAGUACCCAUUAAGCUAAAACACACACACACAACUCAAACUCACAAACUCAAAUCAUAAACUGAACAAAAAACACAAAUUUUUGAAACAAGUUAAAAAAAAAAGACUUUUGGAGUGGUGGGUAAAGUACCAAAAGCGUCAUGGACGAUAAGAACUGAAAGCUUGGAGUCAGGGAGCCAGCGACCUAGGAAUCGAACCGGCCCAGCUUUUUGACAUGGCCGGAACCGCUGGACGGGUUCACGGCUGGUGGGUUUAAGCAGCAUUCUGAGCUUGCCAUGAUUUCUCUCUUCUUCUUCUUUUUCUCUGAAUUCACAAACACAAACGCUCUUUGUCAGUGUUUGAUUGAGCUAGCACAGCUUUAUAAAUGGGAAAUAAUUCUCUGGUACGUAAAAAAUUUGGAAAUUUGUUCAUGGUCAGCAGAUUCAUCGGAAUUCGAUAUUUGUUAAUUUAUUCAAUUCUUUAUUUUUGAGUUGACGGGAUGAAUGACCUAAGCCUGAAGUUCAGGAGAAUAACUAAUAACCGCAGUCCAAGACUCCAAGGCCAUGACAGUGACACUCCAAAAGGGCCAUGGAUCCCUCCGGAUCCAUUGGUCCUAAUCUGCAACUCUCGUAAUUUGGAUUAUUAAAAUUUGAUCCAAAUGUUAUAAAUAUGAAUUCAUUUUAAAAAUUAUAAUAAUUUUUAUCUGUUAAAUUAAUUUUUAAUUAUCCGGAUUACAAAAUUUAAUGAAUUAGGACCAAUGGAUCCGGAGAGGAUCCAUGUCAUGUCCCUCCAAAAGCAGUACAACAAGAAAGUUGACUGACUUGUGCGAAUUAAACAGUUACUCACAUUCCGCAAUUAUCCAGAAAAUCUCUUGUAUUACAUAAAAUAGUUUAAUGUGUGGUUUUGUUCCGAUAAUUGGCUUAAAAUAACAAAAUUUAUUUAUUUUAUGAUGCACUAAUCCACAUCAUCACACGUCUGAACAAGAAUUAUACCACUAACCAAAUUCCAAACUUUAAAGCACCAUAUUAUUCUCAAACCUCUAGCCUUCCAAGCGACAAAUUUUACACACAUAUUUGCACAUAAAAAUGCGGGCAUUACUGUGGUCCAUAGUUAAUAGGGAAAAUUUUUAGUUGUGACCGGAAUACGAAUGGUACACCAUGUGUUUUUAUGUAAAUGGUGGAAAAUUUUAAUUUUUAAGCUAUUAACCUUUUAACACACAUAUCCAACCACUUACAUAAAGACAUGUGAUAUACCGCCUUGUGUGACGGUCAUAUUGAAAAAUCUCUCAGUAAAUAGGAUGCAGUUGAUACGAUACGAUAGGGUUCAAAUUAUUCUAAUAUAUCAGAAAAAGCCUCUUCACAGUAAAGAAGGUUCAAGAACCACUCCAUCAAAUCUUCAUAAGCCUCCUUGGCAGCCUUACAAGCUGCUUCAUCUUCAACGUUGUACCUGGUGGUUCACCCGUGUUCCACUUUCGGGAAUAUCUUCACUUGGCUUGUAAUCUGUGGUUCCAUAAAACCAAGAGUCAUUCCAAAUACAUAACGCGAAACAUUGAAGAAACAGAGCCACGUUAAGAAGGUAGAAUGUCUAAGACCUUUGGUUUUGUAAGGGCAAGUUCGACCUAUAAUUCGUGACGUAGUUCUACCAAUAACCCAUGACAGAAUGAGAACGACUAAACCCGAAGUCAUCUCAAGGGUUAUAGGGAUGUCCAUGACUAAAAUCAACAAAUACAUUGAAAUCAUUGAAGAGUCUUUCGGUCAAGAUAUUUCCUAGUUCCUACCUCAGACUUUGCAGCUAAAGCCUCCUCAAAUUGUUUCACGAGUUCAGGUGGAGACGUACCAUCAAUCUCAGCUCCAAGUAUUUGAGUGGGAACCUUAACCGCUGCAAUUUAGUUCCACGAAUAUAUCAAUAAACUCAGACCGAACUGGUUUUAUUUUUCUAUUUACACACUUAGAAAACUUAGGUAUGUGUUCGUCUAAAUUAACACCUACACUAAGUAUUUCUUGAAUAUUAAAUAGUGAAAUCUUACCCAUGAUAUCAUCCAGAGUGACAAAUGAAGGAUGACACAAAGAAGCAGCUUUGAUAUAGUCAUGCUUUGAAAGUUCAACCACAACCUUGGCUGAAAACAGCACAAAUGAUUCAAUGUCAACCGAAACAUUUUCCCAUAGGUUGAAGUUGAACUAAUAAAUUAAGGAUGAACAAUCCGAAAAGAAGAAAAAAAAUUGUAGAAACAUGAGACGUUCUAUUAAACUGAAACCGGAACAUAAAUUAUUGAGUAAAGAGAAGAAUCCACCAGAAAGGGAAAAUGAGCUCAACCCCAUAACAGAAUCCUACAGCACCAACUUUAGAAGCACCUUUACUUCUUAAAGCUUCAAGUACUGGUUUUGCAUCUUCGAAUGCUUUGUCCUGUUUAGAAGAGCGAAACAUUUCAACAAUACUUGCACAAUCAAGCUGAAGCCACACGCAUCUUCAAUUUAAAACUGCCCCAAAAAGAGAAUUUCACAAUAAGAAUCUUAAAACAUUUUAUAUGAACCAACCGGUGCAUGAUGUUUUAUCCAGCCAGGGAGAGCGGCAAAUCCGUCCUCUCCUAAUUCAAAAGGGUCUCCGUAAAAGAAGUCAGGGACCGCAAUAAAAAAGCCAGUAGCCGCAAGUUUGUCUGCAAGCUUCCUUCAAAACAGAAGGUAGGUGGCAUCAGUUGAAGGGUACAUAAUAUUAUGAAAACACGCACAUGAUAUAGUGAUUGAUCAAGUAAAUAACACAACUGUGAUCCGAAAAAAAAAAUGAUGAUGUUGGGAACUAAAAGGAUAAACUAUCCCAGUCUAUCUUUCUGGAUCGUAUAAACUCGGAUCAAGAGGCAAGAGAUGAUCUUCUAAGCAUAAGGAAAUACCAGUUUCAAAAGUAGGGAGCUCGAUAGUUGCUACGUCUAAUAUAUGAUCUUAAACUAAUGAUUGUAACAAUUUGAAAGUUUAGUUGCAUGUAAACCUAUUAUAAUCUUUCUGAUCCUUCCCUUAACGAUAAGUAAUUAUUUCAAAGUGUCCAUCAAGACAUCAAGCAGGUCCAAAAUCACGAAAAAUGCAAUUCAGUGAACUAAUCCAUCACACCCUGCAACACAAAUAAAGUAGCUGUAGUAAAACGGAUAUGCAACAAGUCAUACCUCAAGUUUGGAGCCUCAUAUCCUGCAUAGAACAAUAAACAUGUUAAAUUAACAGGUGGUGUGCUGAUACAACGUCAUAGACUCAUAGAAAACAAUUUUACAGAUCGAAAAUCAGUUAUUUCAACUGAACGGGGAAGGAACAGAAACAGAAACAUCCAAGGACCAAAAACAAAUGGAAGAAACACACAAAGGCAAACAAACUAUGCUCUGAUAUGACAUACAGUUCUAAAUAUCCUUCUUUUUUAUGACCCAAGUGAACAUUACUGAGGCUAGAUUAUCAUCAGUCAACCAAAACAUAUUUACAAUGAUAUUUUCCUCUUAGGGGCGGGGAAUUUGAGCUAAACUAAGCAAUAUCCCAGCCAUAAUCGUUCAAAAUAGUGAAGUAUUGAACUCGUCAUUAGUGACAUAGCACCAAUUAACAUAAACACCCUAAAAAUAUAUUACCCUUUAAACAAAAAAGUUAAAAACACACACAGACCAAUCAAAACACAGUAAAGAAACAUAAUCCAUGUCAUAAAAUGUGUUAGUACCAUAUUAUAUUGGGCCUCGUUACUUGGGCUUCCAGACAUUGAGCCCAUGAUUUAUGUAAAAGAGAAGGAGCCUUAGUCUAUAAAAGAGACUCCUUAAUGUGUUAGUACCAUAUUAUAUUGGGCCUCGUUAUUUGGGCUUCCAGACAUUGAGCCCAUGAUUUAUGUAAAAGGGGAGGAGCCCCCUAUAAAAUGGACUCUUCACCCUCACAAUCAGGAAGCUUCACAUCCCCAAAUAGAGGCUCUCAUGUUCAGAGCAUCAUUCUCUCAACUUUCUUCCCCUGUGAACCCAACAGAGGGCAAUACCAUCACAAACACAACAACACUUUUUAAUCCAUACAUACAGUUACAGAGGAAUACAAUCAACAUCAGUGUAGACGUAGCCCAAACAUUGGGGUGAACUACGAUACAUUUUGUGUUCUUUACAUUCUUGCAGAUUCACGGUCGAAUUUGCGUUGUUCCAAGACCCUCCGAUUUUGUGUAUCAACAAAAUGAACAAAAAAUUGCAGAAAAUACUGGACCAAAUUAAAAAGCAAAGAUUUUUGAAGUGGUGGGAGUUGGGAAAGUACCAAAAACAUCAGAGACAAAAAGAACGGCCAUCUUGGAGUCAGGGGAGCCGAUGAGAUAGGUGUCGAGACCGUCGAACUUCUCGACGAGGCCGGAGCCACUCGAUGGGUUCAGGGUUGGUGGGUGGGAGCAGCACUGAGGGCUUGACAUUUUGUUUGUACUUUUGUUUUUCUCUGAAGCAAACACACUCUCUGCUUUUCUGAUCAAAUGAUUUAUAAGGUGGUUAGGGACAGAUGGCUUGAGACUGAGAGUUGCGUAGUCGACAAGAAAUGAAGGUUUUGAUUUAGGGGAACUUUAUCUUAAUUUAUGUACAUUAAACAUUGACCUUCUUUCUUUUCAAUAAUUACGAUCUGAUUUAAUAUGAAUUAAACAAUGAACCUCUUUCAUUUCAAUAAUUACAAUCUGAAUUUACUCAAAUUUGGAGCGUGACAAUAAUUUUACGAGGAAAUGGGAGGAAUGGUCCUUUAACUAUCCUAGAAUUGUAGCUUUAGUCCUUAAAUUAAAAUAUUAUUAUAUUUGGUCCUUGAAAUGUGGAGCGUUAGUCCUUCAUUACCAAUUCCGUUAAGUUUUAGUUAAAAGUGUUUACAUGUUAGUUUCACCUAUAUAUAAUAGAAAAGAUGAAAAUUACAACAAAAAUUGGAGGCCUACCUCAUCCACCAACACUCACAGCCCACCCCUUCAACUUCAAUCUUUGAUACACUCCCCGCCAACCUCCCACUUCCAACCCCCAAUCGUUAAUCCCCACUCCCCAGCUGACCCCAACCUAUAGCCUACGAAGCACAACCUUCACCAAACCCUGAACCCGCAUCCCACAAAAUUCUUGAAUCUUACCUGUCGAAACAACGUGGAUGGAUGUCAUUGUGAAUUCGUUUACAAAGGGAGACGUGUUCGAAAUUUGGAUUAGAAACUUUCUUUUGUUUUGGUUGUUUGGAGAGUGCUACAAUGUCGUGGCUGCGGUUUGGAGGAGGCGAGGCAGAAGGGAAGACGGGAGAGAGAGAGAGAGUUAACUUUUAUAUUUUUAGUAUUUUUAUUUUGGAGAAAUUAGGUUAUCAUCAUUCUUUUUGCUACUUCACUGAUUAAAAUCUUAUUCAUUUUCAAUUUUUGAUCAAGGUCCUUGGUAUUAAUAACAUCAUUAAUAAUUUCAAUAAUAAAAUAUUUUUUUAUUUCUAAUAUAUUCAUUUAAUGUUAAAAAUGUUACAAUUAGUAUAUUUAUAUUUAUGACUAAAUUUUUUGUCAUAUAUUUUUAGUUUUAAUUUAUACCCAUUUUUAAUUUGUACCAAUUUUCUUUUUAGUUUUAAUUUGUACCCAUAUAUUAACUUCUUUUUGUGCCCUUAUUUUUUAAAGUUUAUUCGUAUUUGUACCCAUAUUUUUUUUAUUUGUACAUUUUAUUUUGCUAAUUGUACCCAUGCUAAUUAUAUGUACCCAUUCAUGUAAAACUUUUUAAUCUAAAAAUGUACUCAUUCUUAAAUAUAUCAAUUUGUUAUAUGUAAAAUGUACCUUUUUUUAUAUAAAAUGUAACAAUCCGUCCCAAAUCUUACGUUUUUACAAAAUUUAAAAGUGUGAUUUUACGAAAAUGCCUUUAGAUGCGAUGGUCUUGACAUCCGUUGACCAACGUAUAGCAAGGUGUAUGAAUUAAUACUUAGCGUUUUCUUGAAGUACUCGAUGUUACAGAAUUAUAAAACCGAGAAGUACUUUUGCUUAGUCGCUAUUCAUAUAUUUUAUACAUUUUUAUAAUGAUAUAUUUUGUUUAUCAUUUAGUGAUUUUAAAAAUAGUUGAAGAAGAAGAGGAAGAAGGGGGGGCAUGGGAAAGAGAACAGAGGGAAGGGCUGCUGCCCAAUCAGAGGAGAGGAAGAGAGAAGACUGCCCAAUUAGAAGUAGAAGCGAGGAGGGAAAUGAGGGAGAGUGGAGAGCGGGGGAAAAGGGGGGGGGGGGGAAACGGGUUCCCAACCCGUGACCCGUGUACACCCAGUCUAAUUUUCCAUAUUUUCCGAUGGUUUUCCAUCGGAUUUCUCACGAAAUUGGACCAAGAAACCAUUCCCAAUCAUCCCCUAGUCCUUUCCUCUUCCAUUCCCAAUCAAAUUUUAUAGGAUUUGAACUUGAAUUCGAGUAGAAUGAAACUGUGGGUUUCGAGGGUGCCAUGACAAAAUCCGAUGAUCAUGAAGGUAAUCCAGCAAAUUGCUACCACCACUAGACUCCCCUAGAACCCAGGAACAAAGCCCUCAGUGGUGGAGGCGUCGGAACACGUUUGAAGGUCGAAUCGAAGCACACCCAAUUCUAGGGUUCCGAUGGGUUUUGAUGAAAUUAGAGCCUUUCCAGGCCAAAUUUGCCUUGGUCACAGGUAUGAAAGUUGUUCUACUCAUUGAGAUCUUCAAAUCUAAAAAUUUUGGUAAGUUUUAGAGAUAGUUGAUUUUUCCGGUGAGUUGGGGCGGCCAACCGCCACCCACAGCGGCGCGUGCGGUGGCGUGUGGCCAGAGGGCCGCCAAUGAUAUUUUUAGGCUAUAUUUGAUGCCUUGAAUUCAUUUUUGAGAAUUGAAUGAUGUAGAUUGAUCGUUAGAACCAAAAUUCUCUAAGAUACGUUAAUAGGCCAUUAUAUGAAUCGACAAUUCGACCGUUGGAUCGUUAUCAAACUUUAAUAGGUUAUUAUUCAUAAUAUGUGAGGAAUAUAGGAACUUAAGGAUUGGAAAUCCGACGUAUGGAUCUUCUCGAAUUGGAUUUGUAAGUUCGUAAAAUAAAAUGUUAACCGCCACUUGGUUUUGGCAAUUGGCGGAGAUCCGACCGUUGGAUCGUUCCGAAACUUUAGUUUGUUAUUCUAGAAGCAUAAUGUGGAUCCUUGGAAGUUACGGAUCAGAGAUCUAAUUUGUAGAUCUUCUGGACCGAAUUACGUAGACUCAUGUGCAAUAUAAGUUAUGUAUUAUAUCAACGAGAAUUCUAAGAUAUGGUUUGAUAAUUGGUCACAGGUGCCGAUCGUUUGUGACGCCUCGAUGUUUGUGCUAGGAAGUUGUAACGCGGACUCUAGGUGAGUGGAUCUUUCCUUGCUUAUCAUAUUUUUCAUGAUUGAUAAUUCUAUAAAUGCUUUUAAAUAAAACUGAGAAAUUUAUGCCAUGACAUAUAUAUAUUUAUAUGUUAUAAAAUACUAUGAUGGUUGAGUUUAAAUUUCAACGUGAUAUAUCCAUAUGCGUAUUACUAUAAAUGAUUAUUGCGCACUACGAAUGGCUUGAUCCCUGUUUAGGGUACGUAGGCGGUCUAACGAGACGUUAGAUGCAGCCAUAUAAGAAAUGAGAUUAUAUAAUCGAGACAAUAGCCUUGUUUAAGGAAUUGAGCAAUGUGAGGGAUAUUGGUGAAAAAUGUGCGUUUUAACUUUAUGUUUUGGUGAUUAAUAGUUAGUACACCGUAUUAUAUAAUUGGAAAUACUAUGAAAUGUUUUUAUUUUAGAUUUCAUCAUGGCAUAUCCAUACGUAUAUUCCUUGCACAUAAUUAUUGUGAACGUUCUGAAGUGCAAAGGUGAACGCAGGACACAUAGGUAAGUUCAGGUAAGCUUAGGUAAGUUCAAGUAAGUAUACGGUAUUAGUUGAAUUGAUGGGGUUAUGAUAUGACUACAUUUAUGUUUAAAGCAAUUCCAACACUGUCGUACAUGUUGCAAUAGUAGGCAACUUCGGCAUUGUCGUACAUGUUGCUUAUGAGUCGUACAUGUUGUAUUAGAUGCAUUCAAAGCUUAUAAACCUACACCCUGGUGUUAGUGCUCCCGCCUGUGGCCAGGGCACAAUCCUUCACGUAAUGUUCACCUCUUGCACCAUUCGCUCACCUUGAAUUCAAGGUAGGUGCACAGACCUGUCGUACAGACCAUUAUAGGUGGUUCCGACUCAUAGGUGACUCUUCACGUGAUUGUAGCACUUAAUCGUAUUCAUUUACCCCCAAUCCUAUCGUACAGACCAUUAAUGUGGUUCCGACUCGUGUGUAGGCGUAGUGCCGUAUAGGUCACUAGAGGUGACUCCGGUUUAUGUGCUAGCAAUGAUUAAUGAAAUAUGAGUACAGUUGUACAGGUCACUAGAGGUGACUCCAACUUAUAUGCUAGCCAUGAUUGAUGAGAUAUGUGAUGAGCUAGCAUAUGUAAUGAAUAAGAGACGAGCUAGCAUAUGUGAUGAGUAUGUGAUGAGCUAGCAUAUGUAACAAAUAAGAGAUGAGCUAGCAUAUGUGAUGAGUAUGUGAUGAGCUAGCAUAUGUAAUGAAUAAGAGACGAGCUAACAUAUGUGAUAAGCUAGCAUAUGUAAUGAAUACGUGACGAGCUAGCAUAUGUAAUGCAUAUGUUAUGAACUAGCAUAUGUGAUGAAAUAUGGGUAAGUUGUACAGGUCACCUUAGGUGACUCCAACUUGCGUCCUAGUAUGAGUUAUUAAUCGCAUGAUUAUUUGAUAUUAUUGAUGAAAUGCUGUGUUGUGGUAUAUUAUGAAUUUUUUGGAAACUAUACAGGUGUUGUAGUGAGGGGUUAUAAUGUUUCACAUGGUUUCUAUUAAUACUUACAGGGCCACUCACCUUGUCUUGUCUUCACCCUCCAGGUUUUAUUAGCUGAGCUUUCUUAUCGUCGAAGAUUUGUAGCGAUUCUUAGUAUUGGAGAUUAUUUCGAGGGUACGAUUCUUAAUUCACUCUUCUGUACUUGCUUAUGCUCUAACGUUACAUGUGAAGUGAGUUCAUUCCCGCUCACAGGUGCACUCUGGUAUUUAGGCACUCUUAGGUUUAAAUUUAUUCACAAUCUUCCACAUCAUCACAUUUUAUGGCUUCGUCACCUUCCAGGUGUUGGCCAGCACAGCUCGAUUCAGAGUCCUAGUGGACAUUCCGGGUCGGGUGUGUCAUAAAAUCUAUUCAAUUUUUUUUCUAAUCCAUUUUUAAACUUAUAUGGGUACAUUAAUUAUUUUUUCUUUGAUUUUAAAAUGUAUCCAUGUCAAGUUUAAUUUAAGAAAUUUACUAAUGUUAUUAAGCCUAAUAUCUUUCUUUUUUUUUUGUGAUUUUGAAGAAUAUACCCAUGUUUUGAUACAAUAAAUUUUUUGGUUAAUUUUGAUGAAUGUACCCAUGUUUAUAUAUAGAUACACACACAAUAGAAUAUUUAUAUUUUAAUAUUUUUAAUCCACAAAUUAUGGUUUUUUAUUUAAAAUCUCAUUUAUAUAAACAACUAAAAUUUCUAAUUUUUAAUUUAAAAAAUAUAGUAACGUACAUAAAAAUAAAUUAUCACAUUAAUUUCAGGGACCUUGAUCAAAAAUUAAAAACCAACAAGGUUUUAAUCAAAGAAUAUUCAUAGCUAAGGACCGUAUCCAAAGUCUCCCUUUUAUUUUUGUUUUUCUUUCUCUAUGUUUGUAUUUAUUUUUAUUUUGAAUUUUUAAGCCACGUGGCAUUUAGUAACAAAAAUAUGGAGCCCACAAAGACCACGUCAUCAAACUAACGGAAAAUCUCACGAUGUUAGUAUGGAGGAACCAAUGCUCUACAUUUUGUUAAGUUCAAGGACCAAAUCUAAUGAAUUUUAAGUUUAAGGACCAAAACUACAUUUCGAUCAUAGUUCAGGGACCAUUCCUCCAAUUUCCUCUAAUUUUACACUUAUCUAAUUCUCACAACUAAGGAAUCGUAGUUAACUUAAUGAAGAUGAAUACACUAGAUCAUAAUACUAAAUGGUCAAAUCGUAAUUAACUUUGAUUUCCUUUGAUGACUUUGACAAAUGAACUACCAACCUACACCAUUAAAUAAGUUUUAUUAUCUAAUCGUAACACAAUUAUCUGGAAUUAUCAAAUCAAAAUAUAAAUAUCAAUUCGUUGAAGAUCUACUAAUUAGCUACGAUUAUAUGAUAUCUUCUUCACUUUUAAGUGGAAGAUUUCAAGUUCAGCUCGCAUGAAUGACUAGAAAGUAAUAUAUUUAUAGGCUUUAACAAGUUUUGGUUAGCCCUAUGCCUAUCGAUUCACCCCAGCUUCUACAUUGGAGUCUAUCUAAUGUAGAAUAUGAGUGAAUUGGGGUGUUUGGUUACAAAGUGGGAUAGCUAUAAGGUUAAUUUUAUCAUAUUAAAAUUAUUUUAUGCUAAUGUCAAUAUAAAAUUAACGAAACUCUAACGGAAUGAGGUUUGUGAAAUGAUUUUGAAACAUCAAAGGUUUUUGUGUUACUUUCAAAAUCGAAAGAAUUUUUGUGAAAACUCAAAAAAUUCCAAUAAGUAUGUAAUUAACCCAAUAAAAAAAUAUGAAUAUAUACAAUUGACAACUAAAACUUUUCAGAAAAAAAAAAAAACAAAAAUUUGUUGCAGUCAUAUUUAUAAUAAGAAUGUGAUUGUGUAAAUCCUAGUAGAUCUAGGAAUAUCUCUUAUAUUCCUAUUAUGAGUUGAUUACUUAUUAAGAGUUGUAAUCCUAAAUGAGUAAAAUUUUUGACUAUCCUACUACUAUAAAUAAAGGCACAAUGGGAUGAUACAACAACACCUCACAAUUAAAUCUCUUUCUUCUCUCUUGCUACCGCUGGCCCCCUCCCUUUUUAUUCCCUUAGAAUAGCUUAGUUAAAUAGGCGUACAACACGUUAUUAGCACACUCUUUCCAAAAGCUGAGGAAUUGAUGGAUCAUAGGAAGAGGCUAUCUUCCACAAAAUUCAAAGACUCUUUUUUGUUUUCUGCCAAUCAGGUACACUUAAAAUAAAGGAAGAUAUUUGAAACGUCCACGAAGCAUGAAAACAUUUCCCAUGAUGCAUGAAUCCCUCUAUGUUUAUAUUUUCCUUACGAUAUAUAUAUAUAUAUAUUGUAUAUGUUCAUAUAUUUGUCAAUAUGUAUAUGUUUCAUGCAUUACGCAAUUAAAUUGCUAUCUGGAAUUUGUGAGUCAAAGCAUAUAAAUAAAUUAGAAACAAUUCUAGGGUUUUUCAAACCCUAAUUAUGUCGGAAAAAAAAAGAAGGGAAAAUUUUUACGUUGGGCACUGUGCAGCACCAUUGUGGCACUAUCGGACCAUCACUGGCCUGAAGCCCAGUCAUAUGGACCACACGGCAGCAGCUUUUGGGCUUGCUGCAUUGACCCAUAUAUCCCAAGGCCUUUGGCCUGAUGAAACUAAUGGGCCUGAAGUCCUAUAACCCAACCAAAAGCCUGCAGCUUUUUGGCCCAAUGUCCCGCGAGUCCUUCGCCCUCUAGGUUGUGCCAUGAAGCCUCAACCCACUCGCCCGCAGCCUUUGCUGCUGGGCUUGGCUUGCCCCAACCUGGACCCAACCUCGUCUGGGCUUCCUAUGCCAACCCAAGGCUAACGUUCCGUUGGGCCUGACUCGUGCCCCCCAUUCGGCCCAAAAGCUAGCAGUUGCUGCUACUGGGCUCACCUGUCUUGGCCCGUGGCCUGUAGUCAUAUAUGGGCUGCUUUUGCAGCCAUACCCGAGCCCAUUUACCCCUAGGACUUUGCCCUAUUCUCGGCACCCUAGCCCAAACCUGUUUUUGGGCUAUACUUUUUUGACCCAAUGCUAAUUUUUGACAUUUAAAUUAUUUUAACCUGAAUGUUAUUAUUAUUUUUGCUUCCACGAUCAACCCUGUUUGGUCCCGAUCUAUUGAAUUAAUUAAAAGUGACAUGCAGUCCAUUAAUUUGAUAAUUAAUCCCAAAGUAUUGACCUGAAUAUCACUUUUGGACAUUAUCGAUUCAAUAAUUUAUUUUUAUACUUUGAACUGUUGACAUACUUAUGUAGUAAUGAAGCUCUCACAAUUGAGUUCCCGAAGAAAUUCAAAUUUACUUCACUUAAGUCAGCAUAUUGCAUUUUGUGUUUCUUGCAGGAACCUCUCAUUUAUGAACUAAUCGUUCAAAAAAACUAAAUUGAACCUGUAGUUUCAUAUUUAGUGCCUUUGAAACCUGAAGUUUUCAUUCAAAACUUACCACAUGAAACCUAUAGUUUUCAUGCAUAAAUUAAACCAAUGCAUGUCUAUAGAACCCAACUGUUCUACGAUGUAUGUCUAUGGAUCAUCCGGAAGAUGCUAUUACAUCCAUGGAGAUAUUAGAUUUUCAGUCAGCGCCUAUGGAAGAAUAAAUUAGACAUAUUUUUAGGGUGUUUACCCUUAAUGGCCGAACCUAGUAGGAGUGGUCGGCCCCUCUCCCCUAUUUUUCUAGGUUUAUGGUUUAAUUUUGAACAAAUUUUCCAAGUCUUUGGAAUAAUUUGUUUGAUUUUGGUUUGUUUUGAAUUAUGGAUUGUUAUUUGAUGGAUAUUAUUUCUCGAAUUGCUUAAUUGAAUGAAUAGAAUUAUAUUUAUGCAUGUGACCAAUACAACCAAUUUAUUUCUAGGUAUGUCUAGUGGGGAAAUUAGUUGUCUGGCUGAUAGUGUUGCCAGGCACACCAUCUUGCGUGAGUGACACUAUUUUACUAACUUAAUACCUAAGAAAGCACCUCUGACAACUCUUUUAGGUCCAUCCAACCUCAUUGAAGGAUACAGAAAAGCUAGUAUCAUGUUGUCCAAUAGUAUAAUCUUAACCAAUAAAGAGGCACUCUAUUUUCCACUUUUCGGAAGAAGUUGUUGAGUUUUAGAGAUAUUCAAGAUAAUCAAUAUCAUAUUGAAACCCCUAAAGAUAAUGGUUUUGAAUUUCUUUGUAUCACUUCGUACGAAUAUUGCCAGAAGCAUAUUCACGAGAAGUUGGAACGUCUCCCGAGUGGGUUGCACAUAACAACCAUUCGCGACGCCUGAGUUCCAUAGCACUUUGUUGCUUUGGCAUGACCAUUUGGGACAUCCUGGAUGUGACAGGAUACGUCGUAUCCUUAAAUCAUCACAUGGGCAUCGGUUAUCUCCUUAUGUUGGAUUCCCGCCAUGCAAAGCAUGUUCUUUAGGGAAGUUGAAUACUCACUAGGGGAUAUUUGUGGACCUAUCCAACCAACCUAUGAACCAUUUUGAUAUUUUAUGGUGUUGGUUGAUACAUUGACAUGAUGGUCACAUGUUUGUCUAUUGUCUACACACAACACUACAUUUGUAAAACUCCUAGCACAAAUUAUUAAGCUAAUGGCUUACCCUGAUUAUCCAAUUAAGUCGAUUCAACUGGAUAACGCUGGAGAGUUUACAUCGCAGACUUUUGACGAUUAUUGCAUGUCAGUAGGGAUUGAUGUGGAACAUCAUGUACCCCAUGUUUAUACCCAAAAUGGCCUGGCAGAAGCUUUCAUAAAGCGCCUUCAAUUGAUAGUUCAGACUUUGGUUAUGAGAACUAAAUUGCCUCAAAUUGCCUGUAAUUGCCUGUAUCUACUUGGUGCUAUGUCGGUCCGCCUGAGGCCCAUCACUACCCAACCUCGUUCACUGUUACAGUUGGUUACUGGUACAAGCCUGACGUCUUGCAUUUACGUGUGUUUAGGUGUAUAAUUUAUGUGCCAAUAGUGCCGCCACUACGUACCAAAAUGGGUCCUCAAAGAAAAAUGGGAAUCUAUGUCGGUUAUGAUUCGCCAUCAAUUGUUCACUAUUUAGAACCCUUGACAGGAGAUCUCUUUAGCGCAUGUUUUGCAAACUGUCAUUUUGAUAAGACAAUCUUCCCAUUGUUAAGGGGAGAUAAGUACACUAACGUUCCUGUAGAACGCCACAAAUUGUCGUGGUAUGCUCCUACUAUGUCUCAUUUUGAUCCCUACACUGCCCAGUCUGAAACUGAAGUGCAACGAAUUAUAGAUCUUUAGAGCAAUGCUUAGAGCAUGCCAGAUGCUUUUAAUGAUCUAGCAAAUAUGACAAGAUCACAUAUACCUGCUGCAAAUGCACCUACAAGGAGAGAUGUACCUCGCAUACGUCACAAUCCCGCCUGGGAAGGCCGGACCGUACCCAAAGGUGGGGAGGCCCCACCUUCCAUGCAAUAAAGUACAUUGGCGGCUAGCCAAUCAUCUGCUCCGACCCUGAAGCAUGGUAGACUCCUUGGUUCUAAAGAUUCACAACCCCGGAAGAGGAAAUCGGCACCAACUAGUGACCCUAGUUUGAAUCCAACCAUCGUUCACUCAUUCGUUCCAACACAUGAGGUUAUUCUAGAUUAGGGUGAUGUCUUAGAUGAGAUAAAACGACCUCCCGAGAAUCGUGAGAUUUCGAUCCACUAUGGAAUAUUGGAUGAGGUUUGGAAUAAGAAUGAGAUGAUCGUCGACGAUGCAUUUGGGUACAUAGUAGCUACUGACAUCAUGCUUAGCGAUGACAUUGAACCACGUUCCGUUGAUGAAUGCCAACGUAGAACAUAUUGGUCAAACUAUAAACAAGCAAUCCAGGUUGAACUCAAUUCGCUUACGAAACGUAAAGUGUUUGGACCUAUCUUUCCUACCCCACCACGUGUGAAGCUAGUGGGCUAGAAGUGGGUUUUCGUAAGGAAGCGUAAUGAGAAUAAUGAAAUAGUGGGAUACAAAGCACGCCUCGUAGCGCAAUGUUUCUUUCACCAUCCUGGGAUUGAUUACGAAGAGAUGUAUUCCCCUGUAAUGGAUGUUGUAACGUUCUGCUAUAUAAUCAGUUUGUUAGUUUAUGAAAAACUGAAUAUGCAGCUUAUAUACAUGGUAACCGUGUAUCUCUAUGGGGAUCUAGAUAUAGAAAUAUACAUGAAAGUUCCAGAAAGACUUCCAUUGACUGGUUCAGAUAGUUCUAGACCACGGAACACUCUCUUGAUUAGAUCGAGGAGGUCACUCUACAGAUUGAAACAAUCCCAGUGGAUGUGGUAUAACCAUCUGCGUGAAUAUUUGACAAGUCAGGGUUAUGUGAACAACGAAUUAUGCCCAUGCAUGUUCAUAAAUAAGUCAAAUUCCAUAUUUGCAAUCGUUGCAGUUUCUGUCAACGACAUGAACCUUAUUGGAACUCCUGCAGUGCUUGAGGAAAUUGCUACGCAUUUGAAAUCAGAAUUUGAGAUGAAAGAUUUUGGGAAAACUCGGUACUGCCUCGGCCUGGAGAUCGAGCAUUAUUCAGAUGGAAUCCUAGUACAUCAGUUAAACUACAUCUAAAAGGUAUUGUGACGUUUUGUUGAGGAUAAAGCGAAGCCUUCGAGUAGACCUAUGGUUAUUCGGACUCUAGAUGCUAAACGAGAUCCUUUCCGUCCAAAGGAAGAUGAAGAAGAGGUUUUGGAACCCGAAGUUCCUUACCUAAGUGCAAUUGGGGCUUUAUUGUACUUGAAUCAAUGCAUUAGACCCAACAUUUCCUUUGUUAUUAAUCUUUUGGCUAGAUACAGCAAUGCGCCCACAUGCAGGCACUGGAAUUGUGUUAAAGAUAUUUUCCGCUACCUCAAGGGUAUGACGAAUUUGGGCUUGUUUUAUACCCGCGAAUCUUCGAGUGUUGCUGCCCCAUAUGGUUCUCGAAUUGAUUCUCGCCUUGUUGGUUAUGCAGAUGCUGAAUAUUUAUCUGACCCACAUAUGGCACAAUCUCAAACAGGCUAUGUCUUUACUGUUGGAGACACCGUUAUAUCUUGGAGGUCUACCAAGCAAAUGCUAGGUGCGACUUCUUUGAACCAUGCUAAGAUUCUUGCCCUACAUGAAGCAUCGCAUGAGUGUUGUUGGCUGAGAGCAGUCAUGGAACAAAUUUGAAGCACUAGUGGUCUUACUUCCGUCGUUGACCUUCCUACGACGAUCUUUGAAGACAAUGCAACAUGUAACGAGCAAUUAAAGAAGGAAUACAUUAAAAGAGACAACACCAAGCAUAUAGCGCCAAAGUUCUUUUACUCACACCAACAACAACAACAAAAUCAGAACAUUGAAGUCAAGCAAAUUUGUUCCCAGGACAACCUGGCAGAUCUCUUCACCAAGUUAUUGCCCAAGUCUACUUUUCAGAAGCUCGUCCAAGAAAUUGGUAUGUGUAAAUUAUCUAAGUUGAAUCGCUUGUAGUUCUCUUAUUUAGAAGUUAUGUCUAACUCAAGGGGCGUAUUCAGAAGCAUACUCACUUGAUUUUAAUGUACUCUUUUUCCUAUGAUUAGGAGCAUUUUUUCUACUAGGUUUUUGCUACCUAACGAGGUUUUGAUAAGGCACCCAUCCUAGGUUGAUCAUACUCCGUUAAGUUAACUACUUUCGUCCUGUUUGACAUUUGUUUUAGACAUUAUGCAUAUUUCUCACUUUUCUCCUUAGUAUAUAAGGUUUUCCCCAUGCCUUGUGUUUUACCAUAGCGAGGUUUUGUAAGUUUUACCACCAAUGCAUACUUUCUUUAAAUUUGAGACUCACGUUCACCCAUUGUGCCGAUGACUUCAUCAAUUAUUCUACCUUAUCUGCUGAAGAUCUGAUGUGAUGGUUUGUUAAGUAUUUACACACUCAAGGGGGAGUGUUGCAGUCAUAUUUAGAAUAGGAAUGUGAUUGUGUAAAUCUUAGUAUAUCUAGGAAUAUCUUUUAUAUUCCUAUUAGGAAUUGAUUACUUAUUAAGAGUUGUAAUCCUAAAAGGGUAAGGUUUUUACCUAUCAUACUACUAUAAAUAAAGGCAUAAUUGGGUGAUACAACACACACCUCACAAUUAAAUCUCUCUUCUCUCUUGCUACCGCCGGCCCCCUCCCUCUCUAUUCCCUUAGUAUAGCUCAGUUAAAUAGGCCUACAACAAAACUUAAUUUGUAGAGAGAAAUGUCCGAGCAAAAUAUAAGUAUCUCAUCUCCUUCCUAAGAUAAAUCCUACGCAUCUCACCUUGCUUAAAAUUAUGAUGGUAUACAACUAGUUACUUUUAAAACUUUCUCCGAAGCAGCUUAAAUUUGUAAAAAUCAGGUAGAAACUCGAAAAAAAAAAAAAAAAAACUUUUCACUAAUCACUUCUAUAAAACAUAUUUUUAAUCCACUUUAUAAUUCUCGUAAUAAUUAGUUAGUGAGGAGACAACUAUCCCUGCAAAAGGUAGGCAUUUGAUCUCCUUCCAAGUAGCGAGGGAGAGAGAAAGAACCCAUGCAUCACAUGGGAAUCAAUCAAAUACACAAAGCAAAAACAUGCCAUCGAGAACAAAUGCGUGAUGCUAUCUACAUUUUUUUUUACCUUUCACUUAUGUCCUUCGUGGUUACGGAACAAGUAGUUAAGCAAGAGCUACGGGAGUGAUGGAAGAACCUGGCCGAAGUCAGUGUUGUGUUCAACUCCACGGAUUGACUGCCUUUAGUCGGCUUAUACGGAUUAAUCUUUUUUUCAAAAACAGUCAUCUUCAAUUUGUCGAUUCAAUGGCCGAAAGUUGAGACGAGUGUGUGGAAAAUAAAGGACACAUGAAUAGCACCAUUCACAAAUUAAGCAAAGAUUAAUAAUGUAUGUGAUGAAAAGUAGGGACUAGUAGCUGAAUGCAUGGGUGGUGUUGGGGGGGGGGGGGGCUAGAUAAAGUCGAGUAGAUAAUUGAUUGCCCAUUGAAAUUUAGCUUUUGUUGCUUAUGUGAACAAGGCUUUGAGACUGAGCGACUUUGAUCCCUCAAUUAUUAUUUAUCAAAUACAAAGAUUUAUCUGGCUAAUCAGCUAGUUCCCCGACAAGAUUGAGAAAUUUCCUACUAAUAAAUUCGCACAUUUACAUCAUAUAAUUGUUCCUUCGGUCGUUUGGUUCCCAUCUCAGAUCUUAUAAAAUACAAUUGUCAUCAGCUUACUCUAGAGACUAGAGUGAUUAGUCAUAUAAGCAUGAUCAGCUGUUACAUUAUGGAAGUCUUUAUCAAGGAAGCUACAAGGUGUCUGAAAAUGUGUUUGGGCAUCGAGCAACUUAGGCAAUAAAAAAUUUUAAAAUUAGUAGGCACUAUGUGAUAGUGACAGUCGCACUAAAAAAAAAUUCAAGAUAAUUAGCCGCACUUGUUAAGUUCAUAUUCUCGAAUGUUAAGACCUUAGUUAGGAUUCUAGAAGAGACUAGAAAGAUUGAUCCGCACGUUGCUGCAGGAGUUUUAUGACAUAUUAUAUUUCGGACAUAUGAAUGGUGGUGUUGUAGGUGAUCAAAAGUAUUUACAGUGAGAAUGUGGGACUAUAUUUUACACCUAAAAGUUUCAAUUCAUAUUAGUUCAUAUAGAAAAUAUUACAAAAUGUUUGACCAUCACAACACAAAAAUGGUCAGGUUAAUACAUUCCCCUUCAGCCAUCUUUCCACUCUUUGAUAAGAUGAGUACUUCUAGAUAAAACAUGUUACAAAACUUUGGAACGUUUAUAUGCAAAAAAGAAUCGCUUCCCAUGUUUGCCUCCGUUAGUUAAUAAAAACCCGUUAGAGGACCAUUAAAAUUAGAAGAAAAAUGUAAUUUCACUACAAACCCACAAAAUGUACGCGACCCUGCCUAAAAAUAUUUUGGCGCCAAAUAGUCUUGCAGACAUCUAUUUUGCGGGAUUACAAAUCAGCUGCGUAAUUGUGCCGACGUCGAGUCUUUUGAGUUUGAAAAGCUUUUGAGAUUUUUGGCUAAUAGUUUGUUGGCAUCUUGUUCACUUUUAGUGGAACAAUAUUUGUUCUCAUUCACAUAAACUUAAUCCCAUGUACAUCAAUCAAGGACAUAAUUGAUAACUACAUCAAAGUCACGAAAGCAAUUUCCUUCGAGAUCACAAAGAAGAAUGAGAAUCCUUUUAUACUCUAAUAUUCAAUUUCAUGCAUGGGGCAUGCACUUGUUUCUAGAUCAUCUUUGUGAGUAUCCUGGGGAUCCUCCAAUCAUAUCCGUUCAUCGUAUAUUGUGCGGUCAGAAAUUAUUUUAAUAUUUUUAUUUAAAAUUGAACAUAAAUAGUACCUGACGAAAACUAACCGCACGAUGUACGAUAAAUGGCCACGAUUGGAGGAUCUCCGUGAUCCUUACAAAGAGGAUCUGGAAAGGAUCCUCAUUCCACAAAAUAAUGAGUAAUAUGUUGAAAGUGCUUUCCAAUUGAAGCUCACAUUCAAAUCCAAGAAGUUCUUCAAGAAAGGCAAUGCUCGAGAUGACCAGCAAGGCGGGGAGCAAAGAUGGAAAAAAGGCGAGUCUAGCAAAAGAGAUGAUACCAAAACCAACAAAGGUAAUAAGCCUUUUUGCAAGAUUUGUAACAAAAGUAACCAUGAUAUAGCUGAUUGUUUUAACCGCAGGAAGCCAAAGUGUCAUUAUUGCAACAAAUUUGGACAUGUUGAAUAGGAAUGCAGAUUCAAGAAUUCUAAUCAAGCAAAUUUUGCGGAGAAGGAUGAUGCAAAAGAAGGAAUUUAUUUUAUGCUGGUCAAUCAAAAUCCGAAGAAGGAAAUAAUGUUUGGUAUGUGGAUAGCGGCUGCAUCAAUCAUAUGACAUCAAAUGAAAAAUAAUUUGUUGAUUUGGACACUUCCAUUACUCCCAGAAUAAAUAUGGGAGAUGAUUAUUAUCACCAAGCGUUGGGGAAAUGCAUUGUUCCCGUCCAAACAAAAAAGGGAGUCAAAUAUAUCCAUGACGUUUUGCUUGUUCCAAACAUAGCUAAAAAUUUAUGUGUUGGGCAACUUAUGCGAAAUGGCUACAAAGUUGUUUUCGAAGAUGUGGAUUGCACUAUUUAUGAUAAGAAUGAUAAUGAACAGCUCGUUGCAUCGGUUCCGAUGGAGGCAAAUCAAACUUUCCCCUUUCAAUGCGUUGUGGAAAUGAAGUUUCUUUGAAGGUUGAUGUUGUGCAAGACUCUUGGUUGUGGCACAAAAGGUUCUGUCAUUUAAAUUUCCAGGGGCUAAAGCUUCUCCAAAAGAAAAGCAUGGUGAAAGGAUUACCAGAAAUUGAAGCAACAACUGAUGCUUGUGAAGGGUGCGUCAUGGGCAAGUAGCACCGUAAUUCAUUCCUAAGUCAAAGCACGUGGAGAGCAAAGGCACCGCUGGAACUUGUGCAUACUGAUAUUUGUGGCAAAAUGCCAACUCCUUCCUUAAGCCAGCACAUGUACUUUCUCACGUUUAUUGAUGAUUUUUCGAGGAUGACAUGUGUUUACUUUUUGAAGGAGAAAUAAAAAACUUUCAUUGUCUUCAAACAAUUAAAGCUUUAGUAGAAAAGCAAAGUGGUUGCAGCAUCAAAAUCAUUCGAAGUGACAGAGGAGGCGAAUAUACAUCUCAUGAAUUUGAAGACUACUGCAAAGAUGAAGGCAUUUGGAAGCAAUUGACAACAAGGUAUAGUCCACGACAAAAUAGGAUUGUCGAAAGAAAGAAUCGAACAAUCGUGGAGAUGGCUAGAUCUAGGAUGAAUGAGAAAGGGCUACCAAAAAGUUUUUGGGGAGAAGCUGUGUAUACAACAGUAUACAUUCUUAAUAGAUGUCCAAAGCCGUAAAGAACAAAACUCCAUUUGAAGCUUGGAGCGGAUUCGAACCUUCGGUGAGUCAUUUCAAAUUUUUUGGCUGCAUUGUUAUGCUCAUAUUUUUGCUGAAAAGAGAACUAAGCUUGAUGAAAAAAACCAAAAAUGUAUCUUUCUUGGCUAUUGUUCGAGCACCAAAGGUUAUAGGUUUUAUAAUGUUGAAACUAAGAAAUUGACUGUGAGUAGAGAUGACAUUUUUAAUGAAAAAGCUUGGAAUGAAAAUAAAGUUCAGGAGAUGCCAUGUGCAAUUGUGUAAGAAGAAGGUGAAAUUCCAAGAGAGCAGAAAGUCAUGCCUCAGACUCCAGUAGUUGCCGGAAGAAGAAGUUCAAAUGAUGCUGGAAGCAGUUCGAAUGCAGAACCUGUUUCUCCGAACUACUCUUCAUCAGAAAGUCCUCCAUUAAGAACUCGAAGUUUGAGAGAAGUGUACAAGACUUGCAAUUUCGUUGGUGUAGAGCUAGAAAGCUUUAAAGAGGCACAAAAUCAUGAAAUAUGGGUGAAAGCCAUGAAAGAAGAGAUCAGAAUGAUCAAGAAAAAUCAAACAUGGGAGUUGGUUGAUUAUCCACAAGAUAGAGAUGUCAUACACGUGAAGUGGAUUUUCAAGAUGAAAUUCAAUCAAGAUGGGAGCAUUCAAAAGCACAAAGCUAGGCUCGUGGCAAGAGACUUUACUCAAAAGCCAGGUAUUGAUUUUUCUAAAACCUUUGCUCCAGUUGCACGGUUGGAAACUAUUAGAACUUUGAUUGCUCUUACUGCUCAAAAGAAUUGGUUGAUUUAUCAACUUGAUGUGAAGUCUGCAUUUUUGAAUGGAGUGUUGGAAGUAGAAGUUUACGUUAAACAACCCCCAGGUUUCAUGCUUGAAGGGGGAGAAGACAAAGUUUACAAGCUAAAAAAAGCCCUUUAUGGGUUAAAGCAAGCACCUCGAACAUGGUAUGUUGAAAUUGAUAAAUACUUUGCCAAGCAAGGUUUUUAAAAGAGUCAAAGUGAGCCUACACUCUAUGUUUUGAAGAGAGGAGCUUCCAUUCUCAUUGUUUCCUUAUAUAUGGAUGACUUAGUCUUCACUGGAAAUGAUCAAGAAAGAUAUGAUGAGCACCUAUGAGAUGAGUGAUCUAGGUUUGCUUCAUUAUUUUUUGGGAAUUGAAGUUUCCCAAACCAAAAAUGGGAUAUUUAUUUCUCAAAAGAAAUAUGUAGAAAAUCUGCUCAAGAAGUUCAAUUUGUCUGACUGCAAAACAGUAGCUACUCCUUUGAUGCCGAAUGAAAAAUGAAGAAAUGUGAUGAUGCCGGAUAUCAUGUUUGCUUCAAGUAUGCUUUCAAGAUACAUGGAGGAACCAAGUCAGCUUCACUUUGGUGCCGGAAAAAGGGUGUUAAGAUAUGUGCAAGGCACGCUUGACCAUGGAAUUAUGUACAAGGCUGAAGCACGAAGUUCAAGGCUUAUCAGGUACACUAAUAGUGAUUGGGCUAGAUAUCUAGGAAGAACUAUCUAGUUAGAACUCUCUAGUACUUUGUAUUCUCUUUAUAUAGCCUUUGGCAUAUCAUUUUGUAUCAAGAGAGUUACAAUAAGAAGUAAUACAAGAGCUUUGCUGUAGCAACUCAGAUUUCCUAUAAACUUGUUAAGUAUUUCCAUCCCUCUACACUUCCUACAUGCCAAGCUGAAAUGAAAAUGUCUCCCAAGGUCUAAGUAAAUUCACGAAUCACAUACAUACAGAUACUUGUGAAAGGACUUAUAUUACAAACAAACAAAAUAUUUAGAAUCUGCAUCAAAACAAAAGAACCAACCGGUGCAUGAGCUUUUCUCCAAACGGGAAUAGAGGCAUGGUCCCCAUUAAAAGGGUCUCCGUUGAAGAAGUUAGGGAGCACAACAAUGAACCCAGCAGCUGCAAUUUUGUCUGCAAGGUUCCUUUCGAAGAGAAGGGCAGGUCGCAUUAGUUAAACGUAUAUGACAAUGUGACAAUCUCGCAAAAUUAAAAGUGAUACAGGUAAAAACCACAACUGUUCUUCAAAACAACAACUUCUGGUGUUGGAAACUAGAAGGGCCCGACCAA
This 29276-nucleotide long non-coding RNA is filed under the name Malus domestica (apple). Its description in RNAcentral is "long non-coding RNA (MDOM_LNC012004)". The record is from RNAcentral. Lineage: Eukaryota; Viridiplantae; Streptophyta; Magnoliopsida; Rosales; Rosaceae.